RNAcentral lists this transfer RNA (92 nucleotides) under Acidobacteriota bacterium. Its description in RNAcentral is "Acidobacteria bacterium tRNA-Ser". It matches the Rfam family "tRNA". From Rfam's summary of the family: Transfer RNA (tRNA) molecules are approximately 80 nucleotides in length. Their secondary structure includes four short double-helical elements and three loops (D, anti-codon, and T loops). Further hydrogen bonds mediate the characteristic L-shaped molecular structure. tRNAs have two regions of fundamental functional importance: the anti-codon, which is responsible for specific mRNA codon recognition, and the 3' end, to which the tRNAs corresponding amino acid is attached (by aminoacyl-tRNA synthetases). tRNAs cope with the degeneracy of the genetic code in two manners: having more than one tRNA (with a specific anti-codon) for a particular amino acid; and 'wobble' base-pairing, i.e. permitting non-standard base-pairing at the 3rd anti-codon position. The record is from RNAcentral. Lineage: Bacteria; Pseudomonadati; Acidobacteriota. RNAcentral also lists the same sequence under 1 other name.
GGAGAGGUGCUGGAGUGGCUGAACAGGGCUGCCUGCUAAGCAGUUGUAGGGCUAACACCUUACCGGGGGUUCGAAUCCCCCCCUCUCCGCCA